Molecule: long non-coding RNA, 427 nt
Filed under: Sorghum bicolor (sorghum)
Lineage: Eukaryota; Viridiplantae; Streptophyta; Magnoliopsida; Poales; Poaceae
Description: long non-coding RNA (SBIC_LNC016327)
Source: RNAcentral
CGGUUUUUCUUUGUGCAAAUAUGGCUUUGGCAAAUGUCCUACGCACUCAGUAAAGGACGGGCCUGUAGUAGUGGCUUGGUACCCUACCAUCGGAUCUUGCUACUAUACCACCAUUGCUUUUGGUUAUAAAUCAUGCGCCUGAAUAGCUGAAGUUUUCUUAUAGUCCCACGUAUCCACUACCAUAUACCCAUUGCUUUAACUUUGUAUUCUUAAGAUGCGCUCUCCAUAGGAGGAACCAUCUCUCUUAACAGAAAACCAUCUGCAUACACCUUUCCUUUGCAUUUUUUUGAGAGUACUUUUCCUUUGCAUUUAAGAUGGUGCACAGACGUACCAAAAGAAGACUAAAGAUAGAGCCACGCUAAAUCUAAAACCUGUGGGCAAUGCUAGUUUAACCCUGUUGGUUAUUGGGCUGUGUUGAUUGAGAAAG